CACCCAUUAUUAAAAAAUAAAUCCUCUUCAUACCUACAUGAAGAUUGUUUUCCUUUUUCUACUUGAGCCAUCUUCCCUUCAAUAUACCUUCACCUUUUUGUGAAGCCAUUAGAUCGAUUUUAGAGUGAGGAUGAGAAUUUAGAGUUGGAAUAGAUUGCCAACAGGGGAAGAGCUUUCUCGGAUAUAUAGGGAGCAAGGUGUGAUCAACUGAAAUUUAAAAAUAUUAAAAUUGUGGGCC
This 238-nucleotide long non-coding RNA is filed under the name Elaeis guineensis (African oil palm). Its description in RNAcentral is "long non-coding RNA (EGUI_LNC046137)". Lineage: Eukaryota; Viridiplantae; Streptophyta; Magnoliopsida; Arecales; Arecaceae. The record is from RNAcentral.